GACGAACGCUGGCGGCGUGCUUAACACAUGCAAGUCGAACGGUAAGGCCCUUCGGGGUACACGAGUGGCGAACGGGUGAGUAACACGUGGGUGAUCUGCCCUGCACUUCGGGAUAAGCCUGGGAAACUGGGUCUAAUACCGGAUAGGACCACUGCCUGCAUGGGUGGUGGUGGAAAGCUUUUGCGGUGUGGGAUGGGCCCGCGGCCUAUCAGCUUGUUGGUGGGGUGAUGGCCUACCAAGGCGACGACGGGUAGUCGGCCUGAGAGGGUGACCGGCCACACUGGGACUGGGAGACGGCCCAGACUCCUACGGGAGGCAGCAGGGGGGAAUAUUGCACAAUGGGCGCAAGCCUGAUGCAGCGACGCCGCGUGAGGGAGGACGGCCUUCGGGUUGUAAACCUCUUUCAGCACCGACGAAGCGCAAGUGACGGUAGGUGCAGAAGAAGGACCGGCCAACUACGUGCCAGCAGCCGCGGUAA
RNAcentral lists this ribosomal RNA (478 nucleotides) under uncultured bacterium. Its description in RNAcentral is "partial 16S ribosomal RNA". It matches the Rfam family "Bacterial small subunit ribosomal RNA", at positions 28 to 523 of the family's 1533-position model. The record is from RNAcentral.